GGUUAAGCGACUAAGCGUACACGGUGGAUGCCCUGGCAGUCAGAGGCGAUGAAGGACGUGCUAAUCUGCGAUAAGCGUCGGUAAGGUGAUAUGAACCGUUAUAACCGGCGAUUUCCGAAUGGGGAAACCCAGUGUGUUUCGACACACUAUCAUUAACUGAAUCCAUAGGUUAAUGAGGCGAACCGGGGGAACUGAAACAUCUAAGUACCCCGAGGAAAAGAAAUCAACCGAGAUUCCCCCAGUAGCGGCGAGCGAACGGGGAGGAGCCCAGAGCCUGAAUCAGUGUGUGUGUUAGUGGAAGCGUCUGGAAAGGCGCGCGAUACAGGGUGACAGCCCCGUACACAAAAAUGCACAUAUUGUGAGCUCGAUGAGUAGGGCGGGACACGUGGUAUCCUGUCUGAAUAUGGGGGGACCAUCCUCCAAGGCUAAAUACUCCUGACUGACCGAUAGUGAACCAGUACCGUGAGG
This 468-nucleotide ribosomal RNA is filed under the name Escherichia coli. RNAcentral's name for it is "partial 23S ribosomal RNA". It matches the Rfam family "Bacterial large subunit ribosomal RNA", at positions 1 to 508 of the family's 2925-position model. The record is from RNAcentral. Lineage: Bacteria; Pseudomonadati; Pseudomonadota; Gammaproteobacteria; Enterobacterales; Enterobacteriaceae.